Molecule: ribosomal RNA, 253 nt
Filed under: uncultured bacterium
Lineage: Bacteria
Description: partial 16S ribosomal RNA
Rfam family: Bacterial small subunit ribosomal RNA
Source: RNAcentral
UACGAAGGGGGCUAGCGUUGCUCGGAAUCACUGGGCGUAAAGGGUGCGUAGGCGGGUCUUUAAGUCAGGGGUGAAAUCCUGGAGCUCAACUCCAGAACUGCCUUUGAUACUGGCGAUCUCGAGUCCGGGAGAGGUGAGUGGAACUGCGAGUGUAGAGGUGAAAUUCGUAGAUAUUCGCAAGAACACCAGUGGCGAAGGCGGCUCACUGGCCCGAUACUGACGCUGAGGCACGAAAGCGUGGGGAGCAAACGGG